Molecule: ribosomal RNA, 2906 nt
Filed under: Escherichia coli
Lineage: Bacteria; Pseudomonadati; Pseudomonadota; Gammaproteobacteria; Enterobacterales; Enterobacteriaceae
Description: 23S ribosomal RNA
Rfam family: Bacterial large subunit ribosomal RNA
Source: RNAcentral
GGUUAAGCGACUAAGCGUACACGGUGGAUGCCCUGGCAGUCAGAGGCGAUGAAGGACGUGCUAAUCUGCGAUAAGCGUCGGUAAGGUGAUAUGAACCGUUAUAACCGGCGAUUUCCGAAUGGGGAAACCCAGUGUGAUUCGUCACACUAUCAUUAACUGAAUCCAUAGGUUAAUGAGGCGAACCGGGGGAACUGAAACAUCUAAGUACCCCGAGGAAAAGAAAUCAACCGAGAUUCCCCCAGUAGCGGCGAGCGAACGGGGAGGAGCCCAGAGCCUGAAUCAGUGUGUGUGUUAGUGGAAGCGUCUGGAAAGGCGCGCGAUACAGGGUGACAGCCCCGUACACAAAAAUGCACAUGCUGUGAGCUCGAUGAGUAGGGCGGGACACGUGGUAUCCUGUCUGAAUAUGGGGGACCAUCCUCCAAGGCUAAAUACUCCUGACUGACCGAUAGUGAACCAGUACCGUGAGGGAAAGGCGAAAAGAACCCCGGCGAGGGGAGUGAAAAAGAACCUGAAACCGUGUACGUACAAGCAGUGGGAGCACAGAGCAAUCUGUGUGACUGCGUACCUUUUGUAUAAUGGGUCAGCGACUUAUAUUCUGUAGCAAGGUUAACCGAAUAGGGGGAGCCGAAGGGGAAACCGAGUCUUAACUGGGCGUUAAGUUGCAGGGUAUAGACCCGAAACCCGGUGAUCUAGCCAUGGGCAGGUUGAAGGUUGGGUAACACUAACUGGAGGACCGAACCGACUAAUGUUGAAAAAUUAGCGGAUGACUUGUGGCUGGGGGUGAAAGGCCAAUCAAACCGGGAGAUAGCUGGUUCUCCCCGAAAGCUAUUUAGGUAGCGCCUCGUGAAUUCAUCUCCGGGGGUAGAGCACUGUUUCGGCAAGGGGGUCAUCCCGACUUACCAACCCGAUGCAAACUGCGAAUACCGGAGAAUGUUAUCACGGGAGACACACGGCGGGUGCUAACGUCCGUCGUGAAGAGGGAAACAACCCAGACCGCCAGCUAAGGUCCCAAAGUCAUGGUUAAGUGGGAAACGAUGUGGGAAGGCCCAGACAGCCAGGAUGUUGGCUUAGAAGCAGCCAUCAUUUAAAGAAAGCGUAAUAGCUCACUGGUCGAGUCGGCCUGCGCGGAAGAUGUAACGGGGCUAAACCAUGCACCGAAGCUGCGGCAGCGACACUGUGUGUUGUUGGGUAGGGGAGCGUUCUGUAAGCCUGUGAAGGUGUGCUGUGAGGCAUGCUGGAGGUAUCAGAAGUGCGAAUGCUGACAUAAGUAACGAUAAAGCGGGUGAAAAGCCCGCUCGCCGGAAGACCAAGGGUUCCUGUCCAACGUUAAUCGGGGCAGGGUGAGUCGACCCUAAGGCGAGGCCGAAAGGCGUAGUCGAUGGGAAACAGGUUAAUAUUCCUGUACUUGGUGUUACUGCGAAGGGGGGACGGAGAAGGCUAUGUUGGCCGGGCGACGGUUGUCCCGGUUUAAGCGUGUAGGCUGGUUUUCCAGGCAAAUCCGGAAAAUCAAGGCUGAGGCGUGAUGACGAGGCACUACGGUGCUGAAGCAACAAAUGCCCUGCUUCCAGGAAAAGCCUCUAAGCAUCAGGUAACAUCAAAUCGUACCCCAAACCGACACAGGUGGUCAGGUAGAGAAUACCAAGGCGCUUGAGAGAACUCGGGUGAAGGAACUAGGCAAAAUGGUGCCGUAACUUCGGGAGAAGGCACGCUGAUAUGUAGGUGAAGUCCCUCGCGGAUGGAGCUGAAAUCAGUCGAAGAUACCAGCUGGCUGCAACUGUUUAUUAAAAACACAGCACUGUGCAAACACGAAAGUGGACGUAUACGGUGUGACGCCUGCCCGGUGCCGGAAGGUUAAUUGAUGGGGUCAGCGCAAGCGAAGCUCUUGAUCGAAGCCCCGGUAAACGGCGGCCGUAACUAUAACGGUCCUAAGGUAGCGAAAUUCCUUGUCGGGUAAGUUCCGACCUGCACGAAUGGCGUAAUGAUGGCCGGGGCUGUCUCCACCCGAGACUCAGUGAAAUUGAACUCGCUGUGAAGAUGCAGUGUACCCGCGGCAAGACGGAAAGACCCCGUGAACCUUUACUAUAGCUUGACACUGAACAUUGAGCCUUGAUGUGUAGGAUAGGUGGGAGGCUUUGAAGUGUGGACGCCAGUCUGCAUGGAGCCGACCUUGAAAUACCACCCUUUAAUGUUUGAUGUUCUAACGUGGACCCGUGAUCCGGGUUGCGGACAGUGUCUGGUGGGUAGUUUGACUGGGGCGGUCUCCUCCUAAAGAGUAACGGAGGAGCACGAAGGUUGGCUAAUCCCCGGUCGGACAUCAGGAGGUUAGUGCAAUGGCAUAAGCCAGCUUGACUGCGAGCGUGACGGCGCGAGCAGGUGCGAAAGCAGGUCAUAGUGAUCCGGUGGUUCUGAAUGGAAGGGCCAUCGCUCAACGGAUAAAAGGUACUCCGGGGAUAACAGGCUGAUACCGCCCAAGAGUUCAUAUCGACGGCGGUGUUUGGCACCUCGAUGUCGGCUCAUCACAUCCUGGGGCUGAAGUAGGUCCCAAGGGUAUGGCUGUUCGCCAUUUAAAGUGGUACGCGAGCUGGGUUUAGAACGUCGUGAGACAGUUCGGUCCCUAUCUGCCGUGGGCGCUGGAGAACUGAGGGGGCUGCUCCUAGUACGAGAGGACCGGAGUGGACGCAUCACUGGUGUUCGGGUUGUCAUGCCAAUGGCACUGCCCGGUAGCUAAAUGCGGAAGAGAUAAGUGCUGAAAGCAUCUAAGCACGAAACUUGCCCCGAGAUGAGUUCUCCCUGACCCUUUAAGGGUCCUGAAGGAACGUUGAAGACGACGACGUUGAUAGGCCGGGUGUGUAAGCGCAGCGAUGCGUUGAGCUAACCGGUACUAAUGAACCGUGAGGCUUAACCUU